CGGACGGGUGAGUAAUGUCUAGGAAACUGCCUGAUGGAGGGGGAUAACUACUGGAAACGGUAGCUAAUACCGCAUAACGUCGCAAGACCAAAGAGGGGGACCUUCGGGCCUCUUGCCAUCGGAUGUGCCCAGAUGGGAUUAGCUAGUAGGUGGGGUAACGGCUCACCUAGGCGACGAUCCCUAGCUGGUCUGAGAGGAUGACCAGCCACACUGGAACUGAGACACGGUCCAG
RNAcentral lists this ribosomal RNA (232 nucleotides) under uncultured bacterium. Its description in RNAcentral is "partial 16S ribosomal RNA". It matches the Rfam family "Bacterial small subunit ribosomal RNA", at positions 99 to 334 of the family's 1533-position model. The record is from RNAcentral. RNAcentral also lists the same sequence under 1 other name.